RNAcentral lists this non-coding RNA (74 nucleotides) under Spodoptera frugiperda (fall armyworm). The record is from RNAcentral. Lineage: Eukaryota; Metazoa; Arthropoda; Insecta; Lepidoptera; Noctuidae.
UAAUAGAUUAUCGGUUGAAUUUAACUCCGCUAAGACAGCUAACGAGUUUUUGGACCAUGGACUGUUAAAUAAGC